Molecule: long non-coding RNA, 1431 nt
Filed under: Mustela putorius furo (domestic ferret)
Lineage: Eukaryota; Metazoa; Chordata; Mammalia; Carnivora; Mustelidae
Description: lncRNA (ENSMPUG00000031669.1)
Source: RNAcentral
AAAUAAAUAAAUUAAAUUAAAAAAUAAGGAGACACCAAAGAAAGUACGACACAGAUCUACAACUGUAAAACAUAUGAUCUCUGUAGCCGUUGAAGAUAGAAUAUUAUUUGAGUUUGAUCCUAGCCCUGGGGUCCUAAAUGAAUCUAUAUUCCUGUCCACUGGGUUUUUCAACUGAGAGGAUAGGAGAGUCACAAAGAUCGGAACAAGGUGUGAGACUCAUUUCUCUUUAUGGCUCUUGGUUAUUAGUUUUAUCCCUUCUUUUCUCACCUUGUUUUAGAGGCUAUUAUGCAAGUUUGGGUAGAGAUUAACCUUGAUGGGUUUAGCUCCAGUAGAAUAUCAUAAUUUUUACUGAUAAAAGAGGUUUAAUCUGCUUGAUUUACACACAGAAGUACUGAUAAAUCAUUAACUGAAUGAGCCAGGAUCUGUUUAUGAAUAGGGCUGUCCUCUGGGACCAGACCAGAAGGAAGAGACCAUCAGGGAAAAUAUUUCAUAUGGCAGUUCCAUUCACACAGUAAAUCCCUUGCUAUUAAGUUAAUGAGUAUGGUGUUCCUUGGUUAAAGGUUUGAGGCUGAUGGUUAUGGGCGGGGCAGGGGGUGCUGGGGAAGGUAUGGUGAGGAUAAAUGUGUGACUGGAGUAUUUGAAGACUGCAAGGAAAAGGUUGCAUAGUAGUGGUCAGGCUUAAGAUUGGUAUUUUUGUGUCCAUAUCAGUAAAACAUCUGUAAGGUUGUCCUUUAAUUUUCAGAGAAAUGUUUCCUUGUGAGUUUAAGAGUAGAGAAACUGAACACCUUCACUGAUGUCUCCAUUGUUCAUUUCUUAGUUUUAGAACUCUUUCAAAAUAUUCAGCAGGGUUUUGGAGGUCUGGCCUUGGGGCAGACCCAUUCUAGUUUUUGCUUGCAUGUUAACGCUCCUCUAUUUCUGGUUCAAGUGCAUUCACAAAAGGAUAAGAGGGCAACCAGGAUCACGUCUGCUCCAGGAUCAACUCCUGCGUGCUGUCUAUAGGCCCUGCAGAGUCUCUGGCAAUGGCUUUCAGCUGAGAAUGAAAUCAGAGCUUAGAAUCCAUCAUAAGAGGUUUUCUCUAUUCCACUGGAGGUUUACUUUAAAGAGGAUCUUGGGAAGAAGACCUCAAGCCUCAGAUGACACCUCAGCCCUACCAAAACCUUGAUUUCAGCCUUGUGAGACUCUGAGCAGUGAGCCUACUUGGUCCUUACAUGGACUUUUGAUUUACACAACAGAAAAAUAAAUGGGUAUUGUUUUAAGCUGCUAAGUUUGUAGUAAUUUAUUACAUAGGAACAGAAAAUUAAAACAAUGUUUCAUGCGAAUGGACAUAUCACUCUUUUUUCUUUCUUUCUUUCUUUUUUUUUUUUUUUUUUUUGUCCAAAGAUGUCUUCUCAUGUUUGUAUGUGAAGAUUUUAGCUGGAUGUAGAAUUUUAG